RNAcentral lists this long non-coding RNA (6746 nucleotides) under Homo sapiens (human). RNAcentral describes it as "HSALNT0036763". The record is from RNAcentral. Lineage: Eukaryota; Metazoa; Chordata; Mammalia; Primates; Hominidae.
UGCUUGGUUCUUCAAUCUGAUGUGGAAAAGUAUGAGAGACGCAUUAUUUAUGAUAGUUUCUCCCCUGCAUGUGCGACUUUUCAAGAGAAUAUUGCCUCUCCAUACAUCUCAGCAUUCCUUUUCUUUUAAAGACUCUAGCAACAUCAAAGUUCUAUUAAUCAUUUAGUUAAUCUGUGAUAUGGAGGAGUUUGAAUAUAAUUCAUCUGAACAUCACAACCUCAAAUUCUAAGCCAAGAUCAGGAAAAGUUCUGAAGCCAAAAUAAAGAUUUUUGAUUUAGCCAUAAUCACUGUGACAGAAAAACUUAGGUGAACACAUCUUAAGGCAAGACCGCAUGCGUCAUUUUGGAACAUUUCUCAAGGCCAAGAGGACAGCAUAUGAACUGUGAAGGUUGUUAUUACCCCUCUAUUUUCAACCUUAGUGGGUCUUUGUUUCUCUUACAAUCUCACAACAGUGUGUAUGUUACAUGGUUAGCAGAAAUACAGUAUGGAACCAUUCUACGCAUUUAACUUGAUGUGAAGCCUUUAUUAAGGUGCCUCAUAUACACAGUUUAAGGAGACUGACAGGUGUAAGUACCUUGCAGGAAAUGAGCAGCAUAUGACAUCCUUAUUAGUUAAAUAUUCAGUUGAACAAUUGUGCUGAUCAAUUGCUUACUGUGUUUAUCACUGUGAUUUCUGCCACCUUGAACUUUGGCGUCCAGAAAAAUAUCUUCCUUUAGUUCUACGCCCCCUUACAUGAUCUUUUCUGAGCCUCAGUAUUUUUAUCUGCAAAAUAGGUUUAACAGCAGGGGCCUAUAAUAUAGGGUUGCUGUGAUAUUAAGUGAACUAAACAUUCCACACUCUUAUAACAGUGCCUGACACAGAAAAGCACUCAAUAAGUGUAAACUAUUAUGAUUAUCAUUAGGUACAAUAAAUUUUCAUUGAGAACAAGAUGAAUUGAUGUAUUAUACAAUUCUAUUUCAUAAAAAAUAUGUGGCAAUUAAAGGAAGCUUGUUUUUUAAAAAACUUUAGAAAAAAACAUUUAAAGUUGUCAGAAACCUAAUUUCACAUGAAAUCUAACAAGCGUAUUGCUCUGUUGCCAAGAUUCAGACCUGACUUCAUACUUUCAGCCUGAGGAGAAAAAAAAUAAAACCGAGCUUUAAAGUGUUCUUUGAAGUUCUAAGAACGAAACUUGUCGUAAAUUAAUUUCAGCAUUUCAGGUUAGAAAAAUUUUCAUGUAAUCACAACUUUGCAUCUUUUCGUUAUUAAUAAGAUCAUUGGACUUUUUCGAGCUAUAUUGUAUGCAGCUUGAUCUUUCUGUCUUCUGUGGCACAUGCCUCUCUGUAUUUUGAUGGAGUGGCCUUUCAGAAAUGAUUUGUAAUUUUCCUAAAUUAAUACGUUUUAUGAAAACAUGUGACACGAUUCUUUGAAAAUUCUGAGGCCACAAAUAGUUUUUCCUUUAAUCUUUUGUUUUCAAUCACUGGGUAAUCAAAGAUAUUCUAUUUAAAAUGGGUCUUUUAACACAUUAAAUGACCAGGUACAAUUUAUAUUGUCCGCUGCACUGACUUACAUUCAUAUGUAAAAGAGUCGAAUAAGUGUAUCAAUGAGUAUAAUAUGAAAGUUUUACAGUAUGGUUUUUCAUAGUUACUUCUAUAGCCUCGUGAAAUUUUCUUUUACUCCUUUUAAAAAAUACGAAUAUGUCCAUUAAAAAUACUAGCAAAAUAAAACAUACAAAUGGAAAGGAAGUGAAUGUUGAAAGAAAGAUCUUUUAGCUUUUUCAAGUAUCUACUCUAUUUCUGAACAAAAUUUUGCUGCUUCCUCAACAUUUUCUAUUCCCAGUUUUUCUGCAUUUGUUUUCCUCUGUUUACUUACAUUUUCCUUUUCUUAGUCUUCUUACACCCUAUUCCGAACCUCAGAGCUGCUGAUGGAAAAAGACAAGGGAUAGAGUGAGAGUUUAGUCAAGACCACUGAGAAUGACUUCACUCGGAACUGGAGGAGGGUAGGAACUUUGAACUGGCUCAUAAAUGACAGAAAUGAAGCUUUAGUUGUUAUUUCUUAACCAGGACAAAUAAAUAAAUAUAUGUGUUUUAUACGUAUGUUAUAUAUAUACACACACAUAAAUAUAUAUAUAUAAUAUGUAUUUGUCCCAUAUAUACAUAUUUUAUACACAUACAUACACACACACACACAGAAUGUGUGUCUUUACUUUCAUCUUGCCUUGGCUUUUAUAUUAAAUGAACCACUCAGUGAUGGCGUGCAGCUUUUAUCUCAGCCUAUUUUCUUUCAAUAUCUUCUAUUUGAAAUGUAAAUAAAAAUAAUAAGUAAAAUCUAUCAAUGCUGAUCAUGGGAGAAGGACCAAAAUUUGAGCAGCCAUAAUGUUCCGAGAGCUCCUGAGCAAUGCUCUUCCAAGGGUAAAUAACUUUGGGCCCAGAGCAAGUAUCAGUGGUAAACAAGAAAGCAAUUUCUUAUAUGUAAGCCUUAUAAACAUUGUUCAUUUUGAAGGUUAUGCAACAGAUAUUUAUAUUCUUGUUUUCAGGCUGCUUCCAACACAGUAAAAUCUCCUAAGACUUUUGCAAGCCAAGCUAGUCUUUUUUUUUUCUUUUUUUUAGUGUAGUCCAAUGCCAAAACGGCCUCAGCUCAGAAAAGCAACACGAAUUGGAAUAUUCCAGUAUUUCUUCAUUCUUUAAUUCUGCUCAUACUCAUAUUAGAUUUAUUUCUCAGUAGGUUUCAUUUAACUUUGUAUGUAUUCUAAUGCUUAUAUGUGUUUUCUCAUAGAUCACAUAUGUAGCUAAGGAUAUGGUAAAUGGAUAUUGAACACUAUCUGUAAAAUAUAUUAAGACAUAAUUGCUAGUUUGAGAGAAUAGAGCCUACAUCCAAAAAGAUGAACCCCUCAGUUGUGAACAUCAACUCCUCCACUGAAGCAAUGUAUCUCUGGAGAGAAAAGAAAAUUUUUAAAAUCCAUCUUUAUUUUAUAUUAAGGUGAUAAUUACUAUGGGUUUCCUGUGAGCUGCUGCAUACUUCAUUGAAUAUUCAAUAUUUCUUGGGCACAUUGGUAGAAAAAUAUCUAGUAAAAAUGUAUACUUUCUCAGAAAACUUAUUGUUAACUUACAAUGAAUACAUUAAUGAGAUCUUGCUUUGUGUCCAGCAACAGGUCCUUAAGAUUAUAUUGCAAUUCACACAUACCAGAAAAAGAAAAAUAUUGACUAACACUAGAUAGAAAACACUAGAUAGAAAAGCCUGGUGAAAUUGCUUUUGAGUCAUGUAAUUUUUGUUAGGUCAUACUCAACUUGAAAGGACUUAGUCUAUUGUAGGUGUAUAGUAAAUAUAUUUUAGAUGAAGCAAUCUACAGGCAUACUUUGGAGAUAUUGCAUGUUCAGUUCCAAGCCACCAGAAGAAAGUGAAUGUGGUGACAAAGUUAGUCAGGUGCAUUUUUUUUGCUUUCUAGUUCAUAUAAAAGUUAUGUUCAUACUAUAUUAUAGUUUAUUAAAUGUGCUAUAGCAUUGUCUAAAAAAUACGUGUAUAUAUCAUAAUUAACAUACAUUAUUGCUAAAAAUUGCCAAAGAUCAUCUGAGCCUUCAGGGAGUCAUAAUCUUUUUGCUGGUGGAGGGGCUUACCUCCAUGCUGAUGACUGCUGACUGAUCAGGGUUGUGGUUGCUAAAGCCUGGGGUGGCUGUGGCAAUUUCUCAAAUAAGGUAACAAUGAAGUUUGCCUCAUUGAUUGACUCUUCCUUUCAUGAAAUAUUUCUCUGUAGCAUGUGAAGCCACUUGAUAGCAUUUUUCCCACAUUAGAACUUCUUUCAGAGUUGGAUUCAAUCCUCUCAAAUCUUGCCAAGGUUGUAGCAACUCAAUUAAUGAAAUAUCCUAAAUCCUAUGUUGUCAUUUCAACAGUGUUCACAGCACCUUCAUAAGAAACAGAUUCCAUCUCAAGAAACCAUGUUUGUUGUUCAUCCAUGAGAAGCAACUCCUCAUUCACCAAGUUUGAUCAUGAGAUUGCAGCAAUUCAGUCCUCUCUUCAGGCUCCACCUCUAAUUUUAGUUCACUUGCUAUUUCUACCACAACUGCAGUUACUUUUCUCCACUGAUCUCUUGAAAUCCUCAAAGUCAUCCAUGAGGAUUGGAAUAAACUUCUUUCAAACUCCCAUUAAUGUUGAUAUUUUCACUUCCUCCCAUGAAUCACAAAUGUUCUGAAUGACAUUUAGAAUUGUGACUCCUUUCCAGAAGGUUUUCAAUUUACUUUGACCAGAUCCAUCAGAGGAAUCACUCUCUAUGGCAGUUAUAGUCUUAUGAAAUACAUUUCUUAAAUAAUAAGACAUGGAAGUAUUCCUUGAUUCAUGAGUUGAAAGAUGGAUAUUGUGUUAGCAGGCAUGAAAACAAUAUAAAUCCCCUUGUAUAUCUGCAUCACAGCUCUUGGAGGACCAGGUGCAUUGUCAAUGAGCUUUAAUAUUUUAAAAGAAUCUUUUUUUCCUGAGCAGUAGAUCUCAAGAGUGGGCUUAAAAUAUUCAGUGACCCAUGCUGUACACAGAUGUGCUGUCACGAUGUUCAGGCUUUGUUUCCCCAUUUAUAGAGCACAGACAGAGUAGAUUGAGCAUAAUUCUUAAAGGCCCUAAGAUUUUUGGAAUGGUUAAUGAGAUUGCCUUCAACCUAAAGUCACUAGCUGCAUUAGCUCCUAAUAAGAGAGUAAGCCAGUUCUUUGAAGACUUGAAGCCAAGCUCUCUAUUUAUGAAAGCCCUAGAUAGCAUCUUCUUCCAAUAAAAGAUUGUUUCAUCUACAUUGAAAAUAUGUUGUUUAGCAUAGCCACCUUCAUCAGUUAUCUUAUCUAGACCUUCUGGAUAACUUGCUGCCGCUUCUAUAUUAGCACUUGCUGUUUUGCUUUGCACUGUUAUGUUAUGGAGAUGUCAUUUUUCCUUAAACAUCAUUAACUGACUUCUGUUACCUUAAAACUUUUCUUCUGCAGCUUCCUUGCCUCUCUCAGACUUCACAGAAUUAAAGAGAGUUAGAGUCUUUCUCUGGAUUAGGCUUUGUCUUAAGGGAAUUUUGUAGCUGGUUUGAUCUUCUAUUAAGACCAUUAAAACAUUAUCCAUAUAACCAAUAAGGUUGUUUCACUUUCUUCCCAUUCAUGUGUUCACUGGAAUAGCACUUUUAAUUUCCUUCAAGAACAUUUUUUUGACAUUAACAACUUGGUUUAAUAGUGCAAGAGGUCUAGCUUUUGGCCUAUCUUGGUUUUUGACAUGCCUUCCUCACUAAACUUAAUCAUUCCUAGCUUUUGAUUUAAAGUAAGAAAUGUGGAGCUCUUCUUUUUACUUGAAAACUUAGAAGCCAUCACAGGAUUAUUAAUUUGCCUAAUUUCAAUAUCCUUAUGUCUCAGAAUGAUCUGUCGGUGUAGCAGGCAGAACACACACAACAUUGAUCAAUUAAGUUUGUCGUCUUCUAUGGGUGCUGCAUCUGGUGCCCUGAAGCAAUUACAACAGUAACACCAGAGAUCACUGAUCACAGAUCACCAUAACAGAUAUAACAAUAAUGAAAAAGUUUGAAAUAUUCUAAGAAUUGCAAACGUGACACGAAAACUCCAAGUGAGCACAUGUUGUUGGGAAAAUGGCACCUACAGAUUUUUUGGAGGCAGGGUUGCCACAAAACUUUAAUGUGUAAAAAACACAAUAUCUGCAAAGCAUGAUAAAAUCAAGCACAGUAAAAUGAAGUAUGCCAUUAUUUUUAUCAAAAAGGCAAGCAGUGUGACACCACUCUCAUUACCAAGUAGAAUCCACUUAGGAGUAGAUAGAGUCAGAGUCAGGUCGUAUAGAAGAAAGAUGACUGUUAGGUGAAUAAUAAAGGCAGAUAUUUACAAAAUGUAUAUAAGAAUAAAAUGAACUCCUUGAGUUUUGAGAAAGUUGAAAUAAGGAAUCAUAGAGUUCCAUGCAUAGAACAUAUGGAAAUUACAACUCAAAUCUGAACAUGGACCAAUGGUAGGAAGUGAACCUGAGGAUACUAAUGUUCUACUAGUCCCUUGCUCUGUGACAGGUGCAGGAUCCUACAUAAUUGUCACAAGAGCCCCAGUAUCAGAGAGUGACCAUUUUAAUAGCAAUUAUAAUGAAUAGUUUAUGGAAAUGGGAGUCCCGCUGGAUUUGUUAGCAAUCUCAUAGACUCAGAUAAUUUUUCAAUCAGUCAAAACUUAAAGAUUUUGGUUUAAUUAAUUCACUUUAAAGACAAGAAAACAUAAAUUUAUACAGAAAAAUAAAAAUGGCUGGUGCAAAGUCACCAGCCAUUAACCCAGUGAAUUAAUGCAGAAAUGAGAAUAGAAAGAAUCCAGAUCACUCUGAGGCUCUUUACAUCACCUCACACUGCUGUUUAGUUAUUCUCUCAUAUCAUCCCACACACUUGCUCUUAAAAAUAUUUCAAUUGCAAAUUCAAUAAAUAUAGAUUAUUAUUAAACCUUUUAUUGUUUUUUAUUCAUUUAGUUACAAGAGCAAAGUUUUGAGACUAUGGCCAUUCUAAUUCAGGUGAAGAACAGAAUGUGAACUUUAGGUUUGAGUAUAUACCCUCAUUUUCAUGAUAUGAUUUUCAUUAAACUCACAUUGAUUAUUAGCAUUUACAAAUAGGAUUCAUUCAAUCAUCUACUAAAUAUAAUAGAUGUCUUGCUUUCUAAUGCAUUUAAACCAAUACAUAAAUGCCAGCAGGAAGUUCCAAUCACAGUGAAUUAGGAUUGUGCAUUAGUCUUAUUUAGCUUGGCUUUAUAUAGUGUACUGGACAUGAUCAUUUGGCAAAAUAAAAACAAAUG